Molecule: non-coding RNA, 27 nt
Filed under: Rattus norvegicus (Norway rat)
Lineage: Eukaryota; Metazoa; Chordata; Mammalia; Rodentia; Muridae
Source: RNAcentral
UCACAGUGUGCUCCAGUCUCAGCCGGC